UAGGGAAUCUUCGGCAAUGGGGGUAACCCUGACCGAGCAACGCCGCGUGAGUGAAGAAGGUUUUCGGAUCGUAAAGCUCUGUUGUUAAGGAAGAACGAGUGUGAGAAUGGAAAGUUCAUACUGUGACGGUACUUAACCAGAAAGUGACGGCUAACUACGUGCCAGCAGCCGCGGUAAUACGUAGGUCCCGAGUGUUGUCCGGAUUUAUUGGGCGUAAAGCGAGCGCAGGCGGUUAGAUAAGUCUGAAGUUAAAGGCAGUGGCUCAACCAUUGUAGGCUUUGGAAACUGUUUAACUUGAGUGCAGAAGGGGAGAGUGGAAUUCCAUGUGUAGCGGUGAAAUGCGUAGAUAUAUGGAGGAACACCGGUGGCGAAAGCGGCUCUCUGGUCUGUAACUGACGCUGAGGCUCGAAAGCGUGGGGAGCGAACAGG
Molecule: ribosomal RNA, 429 nt
Filed under: Bacteroidota bacterium
Lineage: Bacteria; Pseudomonadati; Bacteroidota
Description: Bacteroidetes bacterium partial 16S ribosomal RNA
Rfam family: Bacterial small subunit ribosomal RNA
Source: RNAcentral